CUGCAAUAAACAUUCAUUGCUGUCGGUGGGUUUGCAACAGAAUAACUCACUGAUCAAUGAAUGCAGACUGCGG
This is a non-coding RNA of Oreochromis niloticus (Nile tilapia), 73 nucleotides long. NCBI's taxonomy places the organism in Eukaryota, Metazoa, Chordata, Actinopteri, Cichliformes, Cichlidae. The record is from Rfam.